CACUCCCCACUGGGGGAUUUGGAAAUCAUUCUGCUGCUUUCUUUGCUUUUUUUAGGUUUACCAAAGGCCAGUCUCCCACUGUGGUUUUAGGCGCACACUCUCUCUCAAAGAAUGAGGCCUCCAAACAAACAUUGGCGAUCAAAAAAUUUAUACCAUUCUCAAGAGUUACAUCAGAUCCUCAAUCAAAUGAUAUCAUGCUGGUUAAGCUUCAAACAGCCGCAAAACUCAAUAAACAUGUCAAGCUGCUCCACAUAAGAUCCAAAACCUCUCUUAGAUCUGGAACCAAAUGCGAGGUUA
This 297-nucleotide small RNA is filed under the name Pongo abelii (Sumatran orangutan). RNAcentral describes it as "retained intron". The record is from RNAcentral. Lineage: Eukaryota; Metazoa; Chordata; Mammalia; Primates; Hominidae.